This 591-nucleotide long non-coding RNA is filed under the name Lathyrus oleraceus (garden pea). RNAcentral's name for it is "Pisum sativum (pea) long non-coding RNA (PSAT_LNC031646)". The record is from RNAcentral. Lineage: Eukaryota; Viridiplantae; Streptophyta; Magnoliopsida; Fabales; Fabaceae.
AACAUCGUGAUACCAUUGUUUUUCAAUUUUUGGUUUAUAAUGAGUUUUAAACAAAGAAUGUGAUAAUAGGCUAAAGGAUUUUCAAACAAGGGAUGAUAAAUUCAGGAUUGACUUUUUGGCUAACUGGCUUAAAAAUAAAUAAAACAAAAAUAAGUUUCCUUUAUCAUAUCAAUUUACACAAGUAAACAAAAAGUUUUAACAAGAGUCAAUUCAAGUUCUAGAGACUAACAAACAUGAGUGAAAAAAAAAGAAAGAAAAAGAUAGAUUUUUGAAUGUUAUCCUUUAUUAGGCUCAAAAUUUCACAAAGUAAAUGAUCUACCACAAAUGAUGCACAAUUUCGAGCUUAGUCCUACUUAGCAUACUAAGAAUGUAUAACAAACCAAUCACAUCACACCACAAGUCUUUAAUCAAUAGAAUAUAAAAAUUACUCACAUAACACUUGCAACCCAAAAACCAACGAAAAAGCAUGCAAUUUUUUAUUUAUUUAAGAAAACAAACAAAAAACAAAUAAAAACAAAAAAAAACUGAAUGAAAGAAAAUAAAGUAAAUGGUUUCCUCCCCCAUAUUUAAGACAUACAUUAUCCUCAAUGA